This 436-nucleotide long non-coding RNA is filed under the name Cricetulus griseus (Chinese hamster). RNAcentral describes it as "lncRNA (ENSCGRG00015034332.1)". Lineage: Eukaryota; Metazoa; Chordata; Mammalia; Rodentia; Cricetidae. The record is from RNAcentral.
UAGAUAUGAUCACAACUGAAUAGCAGCAGAAAAGUGAAGCAUGUUUGUGGUAAAAUAAUAUUUUACCCUUUUGAGCCCUGACCCAUCUCAAGUCAGAGAAUAAUUGGACAUGCAGCACCAGUGCAGAUGGCUGGCCCUCUGAAAGGGGCCUGACUUGCUUUGAAGACAUGUUCCAGUGAGUUACAAUGCCUUAUCACUAGGAGGGGGCAUCCAGGCAUUUCUGUUUCUGUGUUUUAUGGAACAGAUAGAAGAUAUCUGGAAAUUUGGAUAAUUAGAGGACAGGACUGAAUUAGACACACAGUCUAAGACCUUCUCAGCCCCCUUGGCUUCUGGCUGGGGCCUUAUAGAAGAUAAAGGAGAACCAUCUAGGUUUAGGGGAGGAAAACAGAAGAUAAGAAAGGCCAACAUAGGAAUCUAACCAAAGAAAGAGCAAGAA